RNAcentral lists this ribosomal RNA (491 nucleotides) under uncultured bacterium. Its description in RNAcentral is "partial 16S ribosomal RNA". It matches the Rfam family "Bacterial small subunit ribosomal RNA", at positions 30 to 507 of the family's 1533-position model. The record is from RNAcentral.
AUUGAACGCUGGCGGCAUGCUUUACACAUGCAAGUCGAACGGUAACAGUCCUUCUUUUGCUUUCGAGUGUCGCACGCGUUCUUAAUUCAUCGUAUCUUGCCCAGAGCUUUGUUUUAACGCAUCUAAAGCUGUGCUAAUACCUCAUGUGAUCUGAUGAUUAUAUCGGGGACCAAUCAGCAUUCUUUGUCCUCUCUCCUCUUUAUCUUCCGAUUUCAGAUUAGGUAGUUGGUUGGGUAAAGGCCUACCAAGCCGACGAUCUGUAGCUGGUAUGAGAGGACGACCAGAAAAACUGGGACUGAGACACGGCCAAGACUCCUACGGGAGGAAGCAGUGGGGAAUGUUGGACAAUGGGCGCAAGCAUGAUCAAGCAAUGCCGCGUGAGGGAAGAAGGAAUUGGGGUUGGAAACCGCUUUUGUACGGAACGAAAAGGAUCUGGCUAAUAACUGGGGGUGAUGACGGUACCGGAAGAAUAAGCACCGGCUAACUACGUG